RNAcentral lists this ribosomal RNA (164 nucleotides) under Aglaia luzoniensis. RNAcentral describes it as "5.8S ribosomal RNA". It matches the Rfam family "5.8S ribosomal RNA". From Rfam's summary of the family: 5.8S ribosomal RNA (5.8S rRNA) is a component of the large subunit of the eukaryotic ribosome. It is transcribed by RNA polymerase I as part of the 45S precursor that also contains 18S and 28S rRNA. The record is from RNAcentral. Lineage: Eukaryota; Viridiplantae; Streptophyta; Magnoliopsida; Sapindales; Meliaceae.
AAUACRACUCUCGGCAACGGAUAUCUCGGCUCUCGCAUCGAUGAAGAACGUAGCGAAAUGCGAUACUUGGUGUGAAUUGCAGAAUCCCGUGAACCAUCGAGUCUUUGAACGCAAGUUGCGCCCCAAGCCRUUAGGCUGAGGGCACGUCUGCCUGGGUGUCACGC